UACAAAUGCCAUACCACCUUGAGACUGCCAGAUCGCAUUCAGAUUUUGGAAGGAAAGCAGGGUUUGGCCUGGUUAGUACUGGAUGGGAAGCCUCUGCUAAUUACAGGUGUCACAGUGG
RNAcentral lists this ribosomal RNA (118 nucleotides) under Periophthalmus magnuspinnatus. Lineage: Eukaryota; Metazoa; Chordata; Actinopteri; Gobiiformes; Gobiidae. The record is from RNAcentral.